This 467-nucleotide ribosomal RNA is filed under the name uncultured bacterium. Its description in RNAcentral is "partial 16S ribosomal RNA". It matches the Rfam family "Bacterial small subunit ribosomal RNA", at positions 29 to 507 of the family's 1533-position model. The record is from RNAcentral.
ACGAACGCUUGCGGCGUGCUUAACCCAUGCCAGUCGAACGGAAAGGCCCUGCUUUUGUGGGGUGCUCGAGUGGCGAACGGGUGAGUAACACGUGAGUAACCUGCCCUUGACUUUGGGAUAACUUCAGGAAACUGGGGCUAAUACCGGAUAGGAGCUCCUGCUGCCUGGUGGGGGUUGGAAAGUUUCGGCGGUUGGGGAUGGACUCGCGGCUUAUCAGCUUGUUGGUGGGGUAGUGGCUUACCAAGGCUUUGACGGGUAGCCGGCCUGAGAGGGUGACCGGCCACAUUGGGACUGAGAUACGGCCCAGACUCCUACGGGAGGCAGCAGUGGGGAAUAUUGCACAAUGGGCGGAAGCCUGAUGCAGCAACGCCGCGUGCGGGAUGACGGCCUUCGGGUUGUAAACCGCUUUCGCCUGUGACGAAGCGUGAGUGACGGUAAUGGGUAAAGAAGCACCGGCUAACUACGUG